UACUUAUCCAGAGUGGCGGAGGGAUCGGCCCUAUGAUGCCACAGCAACCGCUCCGAUGUAACAUCGGAGGCAGGUGCUAACUCCAGCAAGGCUUAAUUAAUAAGUCCUUGAAAGAUAAGAU
Molecule: non-coding RNA, 121 nt
Filed under: Deltaproteobacteria bacterium
Lineage: Bacteria; Pseudomonadati; Myxococcota; Myxococcia
Description: SAM-I sequence
Rfam family: SAM riboswitch aptamer (S box leader)
About the family: The SAM riboswitch is found upstream of a number of genes which code for proteins involved in methionine or cysteine biosynthesis in Gram-positive bacteria. The SAM riboswitch acts at the level of transcription termination control. The predicted structure consists of a complex stem-loop region followed by a single stem loop terminator region.
Source: RNAcentral